GUGGGGAAUUUUGGACAAUGGGCGCAAGCCUGAUCCAGCAAUGCCGCGUGUGUGAAGAAGGCCUUCGGGUUGUAAAGCACUUUUGGCAGGAAAGAAAUAGUGCGUGCUAAUACCAUGCGCGAAUGACGGUACCUGCAGAAUAAGCACCGGCUAACUACGUGCCAGCAGCCGCGGUAAUACGUAGGGUGCAAGCGUUAAUCGGAAUUACUGGGCGUAAAGCGUGCGCAGGCGGCUUUGUAAGACGGAUGUGAAAGCCCCGGGCUCAACCUGGGAAGUGCAUUCGUGACUGCAAGGCUAGAGUGUGUCAGAGGGAGGUGGAAUUCCGCGUGUAGCAGUGAAAUGCGUAGAGAUGCGGAGGAACACCGAUGGCGAAGGCAGCCUCCUGGGAUAACACUGACGCUCAGGCACGAAAGCGUGGGGAGCAAACAGGAUUAGAAACCCGUGUAGUCC
Molecule: ribosomal RNA, 450 nt
Filed under: uncultured bacterium
Lineage: Bacteria
Description: bacterial SSU rRNA
Rfam family: Bacterial small subunit ribosomal RNA
Source: RNAcentral